UCCCCAGGGGGGGUCCCCCGAAUGCUCCGGCUUCUUACCCCAUACAAAAAAACAAAACAAAAACGUGCAAUUGGGUCCCGAGAAGACUCUCUGUUGUGAAUUUACCAUUCAGCUCCUUGUCAGUGAAGAACCAAUUGGGCAAAAAGUCCUGAAACGGUGACUAGAUCGACAAAUUCAGAAGUUUCGAUUUAGUUGACCUUGAAGGGUUAUAGUGCAGAUUAGAUGGAACUAGGAUUUACUGAAAGAAGUGUCCAGUAAGUGUAUGUGCAGUAUAUAGAUUAUGUCAGCAUGUUGUGUUGCUUUAUUACAUUAAGUGUUCCUCUGAGGAUGUCUGGGUGGAUCUUUCUUCUGACUGACGUCACAUGAUGAGUGCAUUGUUUGUACAUAACAAUAAUAGCGCAUGCAGUGACUUCUUGCGGCCGGCGUAAAUCAGGCGUGGUCUCCGGCUAAUGACAGAUAAUAACCUCGGCGAUCCCCACCACACGUCCCAAACCGAGCUCUCUACUCAUUUGGAAGUGAUCUGAGGCUUGAGGGAUAACUUGCUGGAAAAGCUUCCAGAAGGUGAACAUUCCUUCUUCCCAUCCUGCUGUCAGUGUCAUCUCAGGCCUGCGUGGCUUCACUGCUUGUCUGGGCUUGCAGUAAGCAUAAGCCCUCCCCGUCACAUCGCCUCUACCUCAUGCUUGGCUAAGCCCCAUCUUGGACCUCUCACCGUUUAUUUUAAGUACCCCGGAGGGUGUUUUUUUUCCUGUUUGGAGCCCAGCUAUGCGGACCCAAAGAGGUGGUGUCACCGCGGAGGAUCAUCAUCAACAUUCAGGUCAUCCCAUUAGCUCCGACGCACUCCUUAUUUUGGCCACGCAGUCAGGGAUGCCCCGGCAUCACCUCUUGGAUUCAGCGAGUCAUUUGAGAUGCGUCAUGCUUGCGUCUGUCUUCUCCAGUCCAGGAUGUAUUACAGAGUACAGUAAUAUAGAUGUAUCUCCUAUGUAAAAACCCAUUAUUAUUAAAGGCAUAAACUCAUAACAUUCUGCUAAUACAAUAAUCAUUUAAUUUUAGGAUAAAAGUCCCCCCGCCUCUCAAUCAACUCCAAAGUGUUUUUUUGUUUUUGUUUUGUUUUUUUCGAACACAUUCAAAGAUAAGCUUUGGGUAUUGUGUUAACAUCUGUAGGAAUUGUGACAUCCACCCUUUUAAACUAUAUUCUUUUUCCCGGAAACUGCAACUUUCUCUUUGUGAUAACACGUUUUUGUAAGAGUACAAAUGUAUUAGAUUUUUUAAAAUGUACUUUUUCUUGUUAUAUUAAAAAAAUAUAUAU
Hippocampus comes (tiger tail seahorse) is the source of this 1306-nucleotide long non-coding RNA. RefSeq lists it as uncharacterized. NCBI's taxonomy places the organism in Eukaryota, Metazoa, Chordata, Actinopteri, Syngnathiformes, Syngnathidae. The record is from RefSeq and is a predicted model, not a curated record. The transcript is spliced from 2 exons.